This 572-nucleotide ribosomal RNA is filed under the name uncultured bacterium. Its description in RNAcentral is "partial 16S ribosomal RNA". It matches the Rfam family "Bacterial small subunit ribosomal RNA", at positions 355 to 919 of the family's 1533-position model. The record is from RNAcentral.
UGGGGAAUUUUGGACAAUGGGCGAAAGCCUGAUCCAGCAAUGCCGCGUGUGUGAAGAAGGCCUUCGGGUUGUAAAGCACUUUUGUCCGGAAAGAAAUCCUUGGCUCUAAUACAGUCGGGGGAUGACGGUACCGGAAGAAUAAGCACCGGCUAACUACGUGCCAGCAGCCGCGGUAAUACGUAGGGUGCAAGCGUUAAUCGGAAUUACUGGGCGUAAAGCGUGCGCAGGCGGUUUGCUAAGACCGAUGUGAAAUCCCCGGGCUCAACCUGGGAACUGCAUUGGUGACUGGGCAGGCUAGAGUAUGGCAGAGGGGGGUAGAAUUCCACGUGUAGCAGUGAAAUGCGUAGAGAUGUGGAGGAAUACCGAUGGCGAAGGCAGCCCCCUGGGCCAAUACUGACGCUCAUGCACGAAAGCGUGGGGAGCAAACAGGAUUAGAUACCCUGGUAGUCCACGCCCUAAACGAUGUCAACUAGUUGUUGGGGAUUCAUUUCCUUAGUAACGUAGCUAACGCGUGAAGUUGACCGCCUGGGGAGUACGGUCGCAAGAUUAAAACUCAAAGGAAUUGACGGGGU